CUAGUUUUUGAGACAAAAAUACCUGCAGGAAUAAAACUACACUUCUCCGAACUUGAAUUGUAAAUCUAUUAAUUGGUAAUAGCUAAAGCUAGCUAGGGUCACGUUUUUGCAAGCUGCGCAUGUGCACCUGAAUAGGCUCGUCUCGAGUCGCGUGGAGUUUUUACUUUUCCUCAGAAGACGUCGACGGUAAAGUAAACAUACAGGAGGUGAUGUGAAUCACCAAUGCUACAUCUACACUGAGGGGAAGAAAAGACUGUUCUAGCCAUUGUUUUUUAAAUCUGUCAUGCAUUGGUGGUUCAGUGGUAGAAUUCUCGCCUGCCACGCGGGGGCCAGCCGUAUAUACCUGUAACACGGAACAGCCAAUCAAAUUGCAGCUACUGCAGCAUA
Molecule: non-coding RNA, 387 nt
Organism: Oryzias latipes (Japanese medaka)
Lineage: Eukaryota; Metazoa; Chordata; Actinopteri; Beloniformes; Adrianichthyidae
Source: RefSeq, a predicted model, not a curated record